UGGGGAAUUUUGGACAAUGGGCGAAAGCCUGAUCCAGCAAUGCCGCGUGUGUGAAGAAGGCCUUCGGGUUGUAAAGCACUUUUGUCCGGAAAGAAAUCCUUGGCUCUAAUACAGUCGGGGGAUGACGGUACCGGAAGAAUAAGCACCGGCUAACUACGUGCCAGCAGCCGCGGUAAUACGUAGGGUGCAAGCGUUAAUCGGAAUUACUGGGCGUAAAGCGUGCGCAGGCGGUUUGCUAAGACCGAUGUGAAAUCCCCGGGGCUAACCUGGGAACUGCAUUGGUGACUGGCAGGCUAGAGUAUGGCAGAGGGGGGUAGAAUUCCACGUGUAGCAGUGAAAUGCGUAGAGAUGUGGAGGAAUGCCGAUGGCGAAGGCAGCCCCCUGGGCCAAUACUGACGCUCAUGCACGAAAGCGUGGGGAGCAAACAGGAUUAGAUACCCUGGUAGUCCACGCCCUAAACGAUGUCAACUAGUUGUUGGGGAUUCAUUUCCUUAGUAACGUAGCUAACGCGUGAAGUUGACCGCCUGGGGAGUACGGUCGCAAGAUUAAAACUUAAAUGAAUUGACGGGGUCAUAGCUGUUUCCU
RNAcentral lists this ribosomal RNA (585 nucleotides) under uncultured bacterium. Its description in RNAcentral is "partial 16S ribosomal RNA". It matches the Rfam family "Bacterial small subunit ribosomal RNA", at positions 355 to 1375 of the family's 1533-position model. The record is from RNAcentral.